GGGGAAUUUUCCGCAAUGGGCGAAAGCCUGAUGGAGCAAUACCGCGUGGAGGAUGAAGGUUCGUGGAUCGUAAACUCCUUUUCUCAGAGAAGAAGAUCUGACGGUAUCUGAGGAAUAAGCUCCGGCUAACUCCGUGCCAGCAGCCGCGGUAAUACGGGGGGAGCAAGCGUUAUCCGGAAUGAUUGGGCGUAAAGCGUCUGUAGGUGGUUCUUUAAGUCUACUGUCAAAUACGUUGGCUCAACCAACGGCAGGCAGUGGAGUACUAAAGAACUAGAGUGCGGUAGAGGUAGAGGGAAUCCCUAGCGUAACAGUGAAAUGUGUAGAUUUUAGGGAGAACACCAGCGGCGAAGGCGCUCUACUGGGCCGAUACUGACACUGAGAGACGAAAGCUAGAGUAGCGAAUAGGAUUAGAUACCCUAGUAGUUCUAGCUGUAAACGAUGGAAACUAAGAGGAGGUAACCCUCUUCUGUAGCUAACGCGUUAAGUUUCCCGCCUGGGGAGUAUGCUCGCAAGAGUGAAACUCAAAGGAAUUGACGGGAGACCACACAAUAGGUGGAUUAUGCGGUUUAAUUUGAUGCAACGCAAAGAACCUUACCAGGGUUUGACAUGUAUAGAAUUUUUCAGAAAUGGAAAAGUGCUUCCUUUCUAUGAAAGGAAGAACUAUAACACAGGUGGUGCAUGGCUGUCGUCAGCUCGUGCGUUGACGUGUAUGGUUAAGUCCUGCAACGAGCGCAACCCUCGUCUUUAGUUACUUCUAAAAGUUCUCUAAAGAGACUGCGCGCGCAAGCGCUGAGGAAGGUGAGGAUGACGUCAAGUCAGCAUGCCCCUUACACCCUGGGCGACACGCGUAAUACAAUGGCUGGGACAAUCAGAAGCUACCCCGCAAGGGCACGCCAAUCUGCUAAACCCAGCCCUAGUUCGGAUUGUAGGCUGCAACUCGCCUACAUGAAGCCGGAAUCUAUAGUAAUCGCCAGUCAGCUAUAUGGCGGUGAAUACGUUCCUGGUCUCUGUACACACCGCCCGUCACAUCAAGAAAGAUGGUAGUGGAUUAAGUUACUAGUCUAACCUUUUGGAAGACGGUACCCACUCCAAGACUAUUGAUCAUGAUGAAGUCGUAACAAGGUAACC
This 1128-nucleotide ribosomal RNA is filed under the name Dunaliella sp. UMPCCC 1206. RNAcentral describes it as "bacterial SSU rRNA". It matches the Rfam family "Bacterial small subunit ribosomal RNA", at positions 356 to 1501 of the family's 1533-position model. The record is from RNAcentral. Lineage: Eukaryota; Viridiplantae; Chlorophyta; Chlorophyceae; Chlamydomonadales; Dunaliellaceae.